Molecule: regulatory RNA element, 152 nt
Organism: Oceanobacillus iheyensis HTE831
Lineage: Bacteria; Bacillati; Bacillota; Bacilli; Caryophanales; Bacillaceae
Rfam family: Ribosomal protein L10 leader
About the family: This family is a putative r-protein leader autoregulatory structure found in B. subtilis and other low-GC Gram-positive bacteria.
Source: Rfam
UAAAAAGAAUACGUUAUACCGUAGACAGCGGGGGCUUUAUAGCUUAAUAAUCCUGCCGAGGUGUUUAUGAUGAAGGUAGUUUCGCGUUAAAAGCAUUGCUAUCUGCCAUAUAUAAGCUCUCAUGUCUACAUGGGAGCUUUUUACAUUUCUUA